CACCUCCUGGAAGAAGACGUUUUAUUACAACUCCAGGCAGCUCGAGGAGCAUGAGACGCUCAAAGAAGCCAAUAUCCAGAAUGGUUCUGUCCUCCUCCUUGUCAGCAAUAAAAGAUAAUGCCAAGGAGCACAGCCAAAGCCAUGAGGGACGGGGAGUGUGACAAGGGCUGAAGGGAAGCAGAUGGAAGAGAGCUGGCCCACGGAAAGGCAGCCUGGCCACCAGUGUUGGUAAGUCCCUCCCUGCAGGCCAGCUCGAGGACUGUUCACAAAAGCAGCUCCAAGUGUUUCCAGCAUGGUGCCCAUGAAUAAUUAACCCAAACAAAACAACAAAUGAGUGUUUCCUCAUCAGCGUGCCAUGUGGACCCAGCUGCCAACGGAGGAGUGUGGUGAGGCUGACUCAGCUCCUGAGAGCCAUGGACCAGUGAAAUGCCCAGGAAAGGGGAUUCCUGCCUGGGCAAUGGAGCAACAAGGAGCUGAGGUGGACUUUGCUUAGGGCCCUAGAUGGGCACAUGGGACAUCCGAGCCUCCUGAUGGCUGCUCUCAGGAUUCUGCAUGCAGUUGCUGCCUUUCUCCAGAGCAGGAAGAGCUGGUUUGGUUGCUGUCCUUCAAAUGAUGCAUCUCAUCACGUGGGAAAGAGUAGGACAAAACCACCUAGAAAGAGCCACAGGACCAGCACAAAAAGAGGUCCUUCAAAACCAGCCAGGCUCUUUGGAGUUUUGCCUUUCUACAAAAGGCAAACUGACCUGAGCUGGAUUAGCUCCAGGAUCUACUCUAACACCUCCUGCCUGUAGCUGGCAGCUCUGGCCAGCUCUGGAAGGCUUUCUGCAGCUCAGGGGGAUCUCUGUAAUGACUGAAUUAACCGUGCUGCUGUGGGGAGCUGCCUGGAUACCAGCAAAGAUGCUGACAGUAAGAACUGCUGUGAAAUGGGUGUUUCCCUUGUCUGUGAACACAGGUGGGGCCGAGCCCAAGGACCAGCACUGGAAGGUGUGGGAGGUCCUGAGUGGGCUGGAGAUGGAGAAGUCUGAAAGCUCACAGAGCUGCUCUGUGCACGGGACUGCUGCUUGCUGGGACUGUUUACCUUUGGGAUCCUGCUGCUGGUGGAGCAUCACAGCACUGGAGCAUCCAAAGCACUGCUGUUCACCUCCUCCUUGCAGCUGCAGCCAGGACUUUCCAGCAGCUCCUUCUCCAGAGCAGAAGGCAAGCCCAGGCAGGUCCUCUCCAGUCAGGCAGCUCAGGCUGGGGCACGUUCCAGUGGCUCCUCUGUGCUUCUCCUGUACCUGAGACAAGCAUGCAUCAAGUGUUGCAGUUUACAGGGCCAUCAGCCUGGCAGCUUUCCUCGCUAAAUUCGCUUUUUAAAGUUCCAUCAGUGCUGUAUCCAGGGGGAAUGGAGGAACAGAUGCAGCCUGUGAAGUCUGGCUUUAAUUCACCCGCCUCAUUUAAUUUCCUGCCCUGCCUACUAAUCAAUGAGUCUGCACUAGCAGCUCUGGGAAUACCAUGGCUUUUCCACAUCCAGGAGAGUUCAACCCAGUGGCUGAACUGCCAGGGUCUCAAGCAGGCUGUCACUGUCCUUUGAGGCCCCUUCAUUGUGGAUUUCCCUCCUCCAGAACCCUUGCAGACACCCUGCAGCCCACAGCAGCUGCUCCUCAUUUCCUUGCAGGGCACAGGGGCAGCUCUGUCCCAUUGUCCCCCUCAGCCUGUGUGGCAUUCCCUCCUGGAAGUUCUCUCCUUCAAGGGUUUCAGCCCCAGGCUUUGCUUUUUGGGCCACACACUUCUUGCUGGGGCCAUUUGUCACCUCCCAGCAGAGCCUCCAGGGGCUCCUGUGCCCCCACAGCCCCCGAGUGUGUCACCUCCUGUGGCAGCAGCUCCCUGGCCACAGAAACACAACUUGCCCACUCAUCGUCCUGGGAAAAUCUGUCAGAAGAUCAGAGAAAAGAAUGAGAAACAAUUCUUGAAUUGCUACACCUAGGAUUGGAGAAACAGUUCUUAAAUUGCUGCCCCUAGGAUUGUGAACAUGUAAAAUGUGUUAUAAAGAUUUGUUUACCAAAAAGUAGUUUCUUAAUUAACCAAUAUUAAGAGUGUUUUAAGUAAAAAAAAACAAAACAAUUAAGUCAACCUGUAGUGAACUAAUCUAUGAAAGAGCAAUGAGUUUCUUAAUAAAAAUAUAUGAAUCAACUUUCUGUAAUACAUAAAGUCUACAGCAAUGAUGACCUGGCUGGCUUCAUCUGCUGUGGUGACCCCAGGUGUCCCUUCUCCCAGGACAGUGGCCCCACCUCAGCUCAGUGCUGCUGUCAGGCACUGCCUCAGACCCUCAGGGCUGCAGGAAGCAGCAGUGAAAGGGUUUCUGGCA
Molecule: RNA transcript, 2347 nt
Organism: Passer montanus (Eurasian tree sparrow)
Lineage: Eukaryota; Metazoa; Chordata; Aves; Passeriformes; Passeridae
Gene name: putative ubiquitin domain-containing protein TINCR
Exons: 4
Source: RefSeq, a predicted model, not a curated record